RNAcentral lists this ribosomal RNA (510 nucleotides) under uncultured bacterium. RNAcentral describes it as "partial 16S ribosomal RNA". It matches the Rfam family "Bacterial small subunit ribosomal RNA", at positions 28 to 523 of the family's 1533-position model. The record is from RNAcentral.
GACGAACGCUGGCGGCGUGCCUAAUACAUGCAAGUCGAGCGAAUGACGAGAAGCUUGCUUCUCUGAUUUAGCGGCGGACGGGUGAGUAACACGUGGGCAACCUGCCCUACAGAUCGGGAUAACUCAGGGAAACCUGGGCUAAUACCGGAUAAUCCUUCGAAUCACAUGUUUUGAAGUUGAAAGGCGCUUCGGCGUCACUGUAGGAUGGGCCCGCGGUGCAUUAGCUAGUUGGUGGGUUAACGGCCUACCAAGGCAACGAUGCAUAGCCGACCUGAGAGGGUGAUCGGCCACAUUGGGACUGAGACACGGCCCAAACUCCUACGGGAGGCAGCAGUAGGGAAUCUUCCACAAUGGACGAAAGUCUGAUGGAGCAACGCCGCGUGAGUGAUGAAGGUUUUCGGAUCGUAAAACUCUGUUGUAAGGGAAGAACAAGUACGUUAGGAAAUGAACGUACCCUGACGGUACCUUAUUAGAAAGCCACGGCUAACUACGUGCCAGCAGCCGCAGUAA